This 645-nucleotide long non-coding RNA is filed under the name Calidris pugnax (ruff). RNAcentral's name for it is "lncRNA (ENSCPUG00000005330.1)". Lineage: Eukaryota; Metazoa; Chordata; Aves; Charadriiformes; Scolopacidae. The record is from RNAcentral.
GUAAGCUAAUUUGGAGAUUUUGCAAGCUGACAUGCAACCUGAUUAAAAUGACCCCAGGCCAACAAUUCUUCUUAGGCAGCUCCGCAAUUAAAGUCUAGACCUAUCUGUAGCCCAGGUUUGGCUUUUGGGGUUUUUUUUUUUUUUUUUUUUUAAUUUUUUUUUUUUUUUUUUCUUUUUUCUUUUUUCUUUUUUUUUUUUUUCUUGGGGAUUCUCCUUUCUCCUGCCAGACUGACUUGCACCUUCUUGAUAAUUUCUCUUCCCCUCGUUUUUUUUUUAUACUCUUCUCCCUGCUUCCAAACCCUGUGUCUGUGUGUUCCAAUACUAUCACAACCUCCGCUAAAAAUAGAUCUUUUUAUAUACCCUUCCUCCUCUCUGACCCCAUCCAACACCCCUUGUUAAGGAAACCAUCUUACACCCAGAGCAAGAAACAUAAAUUCGCUUGGCUGUCCCACAUCUCUAAGGGACCUGAUGCAUGAGUGGACUAGAGAAAGGAAAGAGAGAAAAACUCCAAGGACCUACAGGUCAUCUUGCUGGCAGGGUGAGUAAAUGUCCUAGCAUUUCAGUUUUGUGUUGUCAGGUUCACAAUGAGUGAUUCUGCUUUAAGCAUUGCCUCAGGAAUUUCCCCUCCAGUAAUUUUUGAGAAAA